Non-coding RNA from Acanthosepion pharaonis, 95 nucleotides. The record is from the annotation of a GenBank genome assembly. Lineage: Eukaryota; Metazoa; Mollusca; Cephalopoda; Sepiida; Sepiidae.
UUGGAACACUGGUUCCUGUACAAUCACUGAAGUUAAGCAAUGUUGAGCUUGAGUAGUACUUACAUAGGUGACUGCUUGGAAAUACCAGUACUGUA